GGUAGCAUAAUCACUUGUUCUUUAAAUGAGGACUAGGUAUCAACGGCAUCACGAGGAUCCUACUGUCUCCCCCCUCUAAUCAGUGAAACUGAUCUCCCCGUGAAGAAGCGGGGAUAUACAUAUAAGACGAGAAGACCCCAUGGAGCUUUAAACCUGACAGCACCCGCUCAUUCUAUACCCCAUUAUUUGCCCGACCCCUGUCUGCUCAGUUUUAGGUUGGGGUGACCACGGAGUAUAAAAUAACCUCCAUGAAGAAGGGGAUAUUUCCCUUAUUAGAGAACCACACUUCCAAGAACUAAUAAAUUAAUUUUCAAUGACCCGAUACCUGAUAAUCGAUCAACGAACCAAGUUACCCUGGGGAUAACAGCGCAAUCCAC
This 377-nucleotide ribosomal RNA is filed under the name Boophis aff. boehmei MV-2005. RNAcentral describes it as "partial 16S ribosomal RNA". It matches the Rfam family "Bacterial large subunit ribosomal RNA", at positions 1955 to 2490 of the family's 2925-position model. Lineage: Eukaryota; Metazoa; Chordata; Amphibia; Anura; Mantellidae. The record is from RNAcentral.